This 434-nucleotide long non-coding RNA is filed under the name Populus trichocarpa (black cottonwood). RNAcentral's name for it is "long non-coding RNA (PTRI_LNC002738)". The record is from RNAcentral. Lineage: Eukaryota; Viridiplantae; Streptophyta; Magnoliopsida; Malpighiales; Salicaceae.
GAAGUGAAAAUAAAUCUCCACUAAAUGCCAAGACAAGGCGGAAAGUCAUUAACAGCACUGAGAUAUCUGGAAGAGGUUUACAUAUAGCGUGGAAACCCAGAAAAAAUUACAACAAUAUAAAAGAGAGGAAACGAUGAUUAAUUUUUGAAAUUAAGAACACAUAUUUGUUCAGGAUGCAGAGACUUCAUAAUAACACGACGACACAUAUGUAUUGACGAGUGAUAGAAGAAUUUAUAAGUGAAGUUCAAGAUAAGAAAUUGAGCAAUUAAACAAAAAUCAUCAAGCAAAAGCAAUUUGAUCACUUGAUUUCCAAUACAAUAGAGUUCCGGCAACGCAAAUUCUAAAACAACUUCAAGCAUGAUUCUUGCUUUACAAAUGAGAAGGGAAACUAAAGGAAUAGCAGAAUGUCCACAAAACCAGUCAGCACAUUUUCA